RNAcentral lists this non-coding RNA (130 nucleotides) under Polaribacter reichenbachii. RNAcentral describes it as "SAM-I sequence". It matches the Rfam family "SAM riboswitch aptamer (S box leader)". Rfam says of the family: The SAM riboswitch is found upstream of a number of genes which code for proteins involved in methionine or cysteine biosynthesis in Gram-positive bacteria. The SAM riboswitch acts at the level of transcription termination control. The record is from Rfam by way of RNAcentral. Lineage: Bacteria; Pseudomonadati; Bacteroidota; Flavobacteriia; Flavobacteriales; Flavobacteriaceae.
AUGUUAUCAAGAAAGGUGAAGGGAUUAGACCCAAUGAAGCCUUAGCAACCCUUUGUUAUGCUGAAAUCUAUUCAGUGUUUUAAAGAAGGUGCUAAAUUCUACUCAACUAUUUUAGUUGGAUAGAUAACAA